AGCGAACGCUGGCGGCAUGCUUAACACAUGCAAGUCGAGGGGCAGCGGGGACAGCAAUGUCUGCCGGCGACCGGCAAACGGGUGCGGAACACGUACACAACCUUCCUUUUGGUGGGGAUAGCCCAGAGAAAUUUGGAUUAAUACCCCGUAGGAUAACGAUGAGGCAUCUUAUUGUUAUUAAAGAUUUAUUGCCAGGAGAUGGGUGUGCGUCUGAUUAGGUAGUUGGUAGGGGAACGGCCCGACCAAGCCUGCGAUCAGUAACUGGUGUGAGAGCACGACCAGUCACACGGGCACUGAGACACGGGCCCGACUCCUACGGGAGGCAGCAGUAAGGAAUAUU
RNAcentral lists this ribosomal RNA (340 nucleotides) under uncultured bacterium. Its description in RNAcentral is "bacterial SSU rRNA". It matches the Rfam family "Bacterial small subunit ribosomal RNA", at positions 29 to 365 of the family's 1533-position model. The record is from RNAcentral.